This 406-nucleotide ribosomal RNA is filed under the name uncultured bacterium. Its description in RNAcentral is "partial 16S ribosomal RNA". It matches the Rfam family "Bacterial small subunit ribosomal RNA", at positions 30 to 526 of the family's 1533-position model. The record is from RNAcentral.
AUUGAACGCUGGCGGCAGGCCUAACACAUGCAAGUCGCACGAGUGGCGGACGGGUGAGUAAUGUCUGGGAAACUGCCUGAUGGAGGGGGAUAACUACUGGAAACGGUAGCUAAUAACGCAUACCAUCAGAUGUGCCCAGAUGGGAUUAGCGUGUUGGGGGGGUAACGGCUCACCAAGGCGACGAUCCCUAGCUGGGUGGAGAGGAUGACCAGACAAACUGGAACUUAGACACGGUCCAGACUCGUACGAGAGGCAGCAGGGGGGAAUAUGGCACAAUGGGCGCAAGCCUGAUGCAGCCAUGCCGCGUGUAUGAAGAAGGCCUUCGGGUUGUAAAGUACUUUCAGCGGGGAGGCGUUACCCGCAGAAGAAGCACCGGCUAACUCCGUGCCAGCAGCCGCGGUAAUUC